This 255-nucleotide ribosomal RNA is filed under the name uncultured bacterium. RNAcentral describes it as "partial 16S ribosomal RNA". It matches the Rfam family "Bacterial small subunit ribosomal RNA", at positions 524 to 776 of the family's 1533-position model. The record is from RNAcentral.
CACGUAGGGGCCAAGCGUUGGUCCGGAUUUAUUGGGCGUAAAGAGCUCGUAGGCGGUUCGACAAGUCGGGUGUGAAAACUCCGGCUCAACCCGGAGACGCCACCCGAUACUGGUCGUGACUGGAGUCCGGUAGGGGAGUGGGGAAUUCCUGGUGUAGCGGUGAAAUGCGCAGAUAUCAGGAGGAACACCGGUGGCGAAGGCGGCUCUCUGGUACGUGACUGACGCUGAGACGCGAAAGCGUGGGGAGCAAACAGG